AUGUAGAAACUUAAGGCUGCAAUGAAGAAAUCUGUCUUUGAAAUGGAUUAACUCAACAAAAAUCCAGUGGAAGGCUUUUCAGCAGGUUUAAUAGAUGACAAUGAUCUCUAUCGAUGGGAAGUCCUUAUUAUUGGUCCUCCAGACACACUUUAUGAAGGUGGUGUUUUUAAGGCUCAUCUCACUUUCCCAAAAGAUUAUCCCCUCCGGCCUCCUAAAAUGAAAUUCAUUACAGAAAUCUGGCACCCAAAUGUUGAUAAAAAUGGUGAUGUUUGCAUUUCUAUUCUUCAUGAGCCUGGGGAGGAUAAAUAUGGUUAUGAAAAGCCAGAGGAACGCUGGCUUCCUAUCCACACUGUGGAAACCAUCAUGAUUAGUGUCAUUUCUAUGCUGGCAGACCCUAAUGGAGAUUCACCUGCUAAUGUCGAUGCUGUGAAAGAAUGGAGGGAAGACAGAAACGGAGAAUUUAAAAGGAAAGUUGCACGCUGUGUAAGAAAAAGCCAAGAGACUGCUUUUGAGUGACAUUUAUUCAGCAGCUAGUAAUUUCACUUAUUUCAGGGUCUUCAAUUGAGAAACAUGGCACUGUUUUUCCUGCACUCUACCCACCUAUAUUGCUGGACUUCUGUUGUAACAAGUUGGCAAAACACUGGCUGGAACUGGGCUGCAAUAAAACAUGCCAGUUAUCAAUGCUGACAAGAGCCUAACAAGUGCCAACUUACAGAUGAUUACGCAUUUUGAAUUCUAAUGAACUGUUUUAACCUUCAGGAAGAAUUGUAAAGACGUGUACAUAGCACAACAUGAUCCGGAUAAUAUAUAUACUGUUCAUGCACAUCCACAAAUACACCUUGUACCAAAUAAUGCUUUCUUGUAGUAGAAUAAGAAUCGUGUAAAUUCUAAAAAGAUUUUAGCAGGUUUUCUUUCCCUAUUCAUUGUUUCUUAUCAAUUUAAAAAGACUCCUUAAAGCAUGUCAGAUGAAAAGCAAUUAGGAUUAAAAGUUUCCAUUUAAUUUCCUUUAAACCAUUGAGGCUUCAUUAAACCCUUGUCACUUACUAAACUUUUGUAUCUUCUUUGUUUUGACAGUCCCCUCUGCUUUUAUCUCUUCUAUCUGCCAGAAAGUUCUCAGAUGAUUUAGUUCAAAUACUGAAAUACUUAAUAAGCAAUUACUUGAUUUUUAAUGAUGACUUCAGAGGAGUGGUCAUCACUAGGUGCUUUGUCUUUUUGUAUUCUAGUUGCACCCAUCUCUUGGAUUGGAUGUAGCAAUAACAUUUUCUGGCUGUUGAGAGCUCUUGAACCUAGACAUUAUCCCAAGAACUUAAAAAAAAAAAAAGUUGGUUCUAAAUUCAACUUACUGAAAUUUACCCCAAAUAAUACAAAAUUCUGAUUUGGUUUUAUUUUUGCCCUUCAGUUGACUUAAUGUUAAGUUUGGAUAAAUAAAGCAUGCACAACUA
Molecule: non-coding RNA, 1442 nt
Organism: Marmota flaviventris (yellow-bellied marmot)
Lineage: Eukaryota; Metazoa; Chordata; Mammalia; Rodentia; Sciuridae
Source: RefSeq, a predicted model, not a curated record